AUCCAACUGAUCAGUCCAAAAUAGGACGAAACGCGCAUCCUGAAU
Schistosoma mansoni is the source of this 45-nucleotide non-coding RNA. NCBI's taxonomy places the organism in Eukaryota, Metazoa, Platyhelminthes, Trematoda, Strigeidida, Schistosomatidae. The record is from Rfam.